Molecule: ribosomal RNA, 663 nt
Filed under: uncultured Lachnospiraceae bacterium
Lineage: Bacteria; Bacillati; Bacillota; Clostridia; Lachnospirales; Lachnospiraceae
Description: bacterial SSU rRNA
Rfam family: Bacterial small subunit ribosomal RNA
Source: RNAcentral
CCUAACACAUGCAAGUCGAACGGAGCUUAGAGAGCUUGCUUUUUAAGCUUAGUGGCGAACGGGUGAGUAACGCGUGAGUAACCUGCCCUAGAGUGGGGGACAACAGUUGGAAACGACUGCUAAUACCGCAUAAGCCCACGGUGCCGCAUGACACUGAGGGAAAAGGAUUUAUUCGCUUUAGGAUGGACUCGCGUCCAAUUAGCUAGUUGGUGAGGUAACGGCCCACCAAGGCGACGAUUGGUAGCCGGACUGAGAGGUUGAACGGCCACAUUGGGACUGAGACACGGCCCAGACUCCUACGGGAGGCAGCAGUGGGGGAUAUUGCACAAUGGGGGAAACCCUGAUGCAGCGACGCCGCGUGGAGGAAGAAGGUUUUCGGAUUGUAAACUCCUGUCGUUAGGGACGAUAAUGACGGUACCUAACAAGAAAGCACCGGCUAACUACGUGCCAGCAGCCGCGGUAAAACGUAGGGUGCAAGCGUUGUCCGGAAUUACUGGGUGUAAAGGGAGCGCAGGCGGGAAGGCAAGUUGGAAGUGAAAACCAUGGGCUCAACCCAUGAAUUGCUUUCAAAACUGUUUUUCUUGAGUAGUGCAGAGGUAGAUGGAAUUCCCGGUGUAGCGGUGGAAUGCGUAGAUAUCGGGAGGAACACCAGUGGCGAAGGCG